This 30-nucleotide non-coding RNA is filed under the name Rattus norvegicus (Norway rat). Lineage: Eukaryota; Metazoa; Chordata; Mammalia; Rodentia; Muridae. The record is from RNAcentral.
UGAGAGAGUAAUUCUAAUUUAAGCCAACAU